GACGAACGCUGGCGGCGUGCCUAACACAUGCAAGUUGAGCGACGAACCAGGGCUUGCCCUGGGGCAAAGCAGCGAACGGGUGAGUAACACGUGGGUAACCUACCCCGAUAACCGGGACAACCCGAGGAAACUCGGGCUAAUACCGGAUGUGCUCACUGGACUUCGGUUCAGUGCGUAAAGGAAGCUUCGGCCUCCGUAUCGGGAGGGGCCCGCGGCCCAUUAGUUUGUUGGUGGGGUAACGGCUCACCAAGACCGCGAUGGGUAGCUGGUCUGAGAGGACGAUCAGCCACACUGGGACUGAGCCACGGCCCAGACUCCUACGGGAGGCAGCAGUGGGGAAUCUUGCGCAAUGCGCGAAAGCGUGACGCAGCAACGCCGCGUGGGGGAAGAAGGCCUUCGGGUUGUAAACCCCUUUCAGGAGGGACGAAGGUUCGGCGGUGAAUAGCCGUCCGGACUGACGGUACCUCCACAAGAAGCCCCGGCUAACUACGUG
RNAcentral lists this ribosomal RNA (493 nucleotides) under uncultured bacterium. RNAcentral describes it as "partial 16S ribosomal RNA". It matches the Rfam family "Bacterial small subunit ribosomal RNA", at positions 28 to 507 of the family's 1533-position model. The record is from RNAcentral.